This 232-nucleotide unclassified non-coding RNA is filed under the name Glomeromycetes sp. RNAcentral's name for it is "partial contains 5.8S ribosomal RNA and internal transcribed spacer 2". The stretch from base 1 to 71 matches the Rfam family "5.8S ribosomal RNA", at positions 84 to 154 of the family's 154-position model. The record is from RNAcentral. Lineage: Eukaryota; Fungi; Glomeromycota; Glomeromycetes.
GUGAAUCAUCGAAUUUUUGAACGCAUCUUGCACUCUCUGGUAUUCCGGAGAGUAUGCCUGUUUGAGGGUCAUUAAAUAGACUCUUUAACCAAUUUUUUUUUGGUUCAAGGGAAUGAGUUCUUCGCGUUUAUAGCGGUCGCUUGAAAUAAGUGGUAGUCUCAUUUUAGUCGAGACGCGUAAUAAUUUUAUUUCACGAAAUCUUUAUUAUGUGACACUCAGGUUAUGGUUCUUA